This 378-nucleotide unclassified non-coding RNA is filed under the name uncultured delta proteobacterium. RNAcentral's name for it is "contains 16S-23S intergenic spacer region". Lineage: Bacteria; Deltaproteobacteria. The record is from RNAcentral.
UCUGGCUUAUAGCCAAGCGGUCCCCUUAGAGUGCCCAACUUAAUGAUGGUAACUAAGGGCGAGGGUUGCGCUCGUUGCGGGACUUAACCCAACAUCUCACAACACGAGCUGACGACAGCCAUGCAGCACCUGUCUCCGCGUCCCCGAAGGGAACGCCCUAUUUCUAGGGUUAGCGCGGGAUGUCAAGCCCAGGUAAGGUUUUUCGCGUAGCAUCGAAUUAAACCACAUGCUCCACCGCUUGUGCGGGCCCCCGUCAAUUCCUUUGAGUUUUAAUCUUGCGACCGUACUUCCCAGGCGGGAUACUUAAUGCGUUAGCGACGUUACCAGAAAGAUUAGGCUCUCUGACAACUAGUAUCCAUCGUUUAGGGCGUGGACUAC